GUUCUCAUCUUCUAGUGGUUAGGAUCGGUCACUUUCAAUGACCAGACGCGGGUUCAAAUCCCGCUGGGAAUA
RNAcentral lists this transfer RNA (72 nucleotides) under Bacteroidota bacterium. Its description in RNAcentral is "Bacteroidetes bacterium (soil metagenome) tRNA-Glu". It matches the Rfam family "tRNA". Rfam says of the family: Transfer RNA (tRNA) molecules are approximately 80 nucleotides in length. Lineage: Bacteria; Pseudomonadati; Bacteroidota. The record is from RNAcentral.